RNAcentral lists this ribosomal RNA (498 nucleotides) under uncultured bacterium. RNAcentral describes it as "partial 16S ribosomal RNA". It matches the Rfam family "Bacterial small subunit ribosomal RNA", at positions 30 to 523 of the family's 1533-position model. The record is from RNAcentral.
AUUGAACGCUGGCGGCAUGCCUUACACAUGCAAGUCGAAUGGCAGCACGGGGCAACCUGGUGGCGAGUGGCGAACGGGUGAGUAAUGUAUCGGAACGUACCAUUGAGUGGGGGAUAACGUAGCGAAAGUUACGCUAAUACCGCAUAUUCUCUCCGGAGGAAAGCAGGGGACCGCAAGGCCUUGCGCUCUUUGAGCGGCCGAUAUCAGAUUAGCUAGUUGGUGAGGUAAAGGCUCACCAAGGCGACGAUCUGUAGCGGGUCUGAGAGGAUGAUCCGCCACACGGGAAGUGAGACACGGUCCAGGCUCCUACGGGAGGCAGCAGUGGGGAAUUUUGGACAAUGGGCGAAAGCCUGAUCCAGCCAUGCCGCGUGAGUGAAGAAGGCCUUCGGGUUGUAAAGCUCUUUCGGCCGGGAAAAAACCGCAUGGGCUAAUACCCUGUGUGGAUGAUGGUACCGGAAUAAGAAGCACCGGCUAACUACGUGCCAGCCGCCGCUGUAA